GGCUGGUGUGGGGCACGCUCGGUGCCCAGACUGCUUACGGCUGGUCACACCAGAUCAGCCGCGCGGACUGUAAAUCUGCCGGCUCAGCCUUCCCAGGUUCGAAUCCUGGCGCCGCCA
This 117-nucleotide transfer RNA is filed under the name Streptomyces rochei. RNAcentral describes it as "tRNA-OTHER". Lineage: Bacteria; Bacillati; Actinomycetota; Actinomycetes; Kitasatosporales; Streptomycetaceae. The record is from RNAcentral.